CCUACGGGUGGCAGCAGUGAGGAAUAUUGGUCAAUGGGCGCAGUCCUGAACCAGCCAAGUCGCGUGAGGGACGACUGCCCUAUGAGUUGUAAACCGCUUUUGUACGGGGGUAAUAUUCACUACGUGUAGUCAUUUGCCCGUACCUUAUGAAUAAGCAUCGGCUAACUCCGUGCCAGCAGCCGCGGUAAUACGGAGGAUCCGAGCGUUAUCCGGAUUUAUUGGGUUUAAAGGGUGCGUAGGCUGGUUUAUAAGUUAGUGGUGAAAACCCGAUGGUUAACAUUGGAGUGGCCAUUAAUACUGGAGGACUAGAGAACAGAUGCGGCAGGCGGAAUGAGUUAAGUAGCGGUGAAAUGCUUAGAUAUUACACAGAACACCGAUUGCGAAGGCAGCUUACUAGGCUGGAACUGACGCUGAAGCACGAGAGCGUGGGUAGCGAACAGGAUUAGAUACCCCAGUAGUC
RNAcentral lists this ribosomal RNA (460 nucleotides) under uncultured bacterium. RNAcentral describes it as "partial 16S ribosomal RNA". It matches the Rfam family "Bacterial small subunit ribosomal RNA", at positions 338 to 795 of the family's 1533-position model. The record is from RNAcentral.